CGCGCAGGUGGUUUCUUAAGUCUGAUGUGAAAGCCCACGGCUCAACCGUGGAGGGUCAUUGGAAACUGGGAGACUUGAGUGCAGAAGAGGAUAGUGGAAUUCCAAGUGUAGCGGUGAAAUGCGUAGAGAUUUGGAGGAACACCAGUGGCGAAGGCGACUGUCUGGUCUGUAACUGACACUGAGGCGCGAAAGCGUGGGGAGCAAAACA
This 208-nucleotide ribosomal RNA is filed under the name uncultured bacterium. Its description in RNAcentral is "partial 16S ribosomal RNA". It matches the Rfam family "Bacterial small subunit ribosomal RNA", at positions 568 to 775 of the family's 1533-position model. The record is from RNAcentral.